AGGAACCUCCACACUGUUUUCCAGAGCGGCUGCACCAGUUUGCAUUCCCACCAGCAGUGCAAGAGGGUUGCCCUUUAAAAGAACUUCUCUAAGACGGAUUCCAGAAAAGCGAAAAGAACUUCUCUAAGACGGAUUCCAGAAAAGCGAAAAGAACUUCUCUAAGACGGAUUCCAGAAAAGCGAACCGCGGACUCAGCUGGGCUGCUGUAACAAAAUUCCACAGACGGGGCGGCUUAAACAACGGACUUGUUUCCAGUCCUGGAGGCUGGAGGUCUGAGACCCAGGGGCCAGCACCCGUCUCUGGUGAGAGCUCCCCUCCCGGCUUGGGGAAGGCUGUCUCUCGCCGUGUGCCGAGUGCCUGUCCUCGGUGUGUGCACGGAGAGGGAGCGAGUGCUCCCGUGUCUCCUCUCAGAAGGACUCUAAUCCUAUGACGUCAGGGCUCCACUCUUAAGGCCUCAUUUAACCUUAAUUACUAUAUUAGAGGCCCCACCUCCAAAUACAGCCACAAGGGGAGAUAGGGCUCCAGCAUAUGAAUUUGGGGGUGGGGCGGACACAAUAACACACACACACACAGACACGUGUGCACAGGUGCACAGCCCAAGCUCUGUGUAAGCCAAGAGACCAUUAAGAUGUAUGGCUGCAUCUUACACCUGUUGAGGCACAGCGUAAAAAGAAAAUUUAACAAGUGCUCAGCACUAAAGCCCCCGAUGGGGUCGCUGGCAGCUGGCGAUGGAGGGCGAUCCCAGCGCACGGGUGUCCUCUUGCCUAGGACGACGGGGGCGGGCUGGCCGGCCACACUGCCACGCGGACGGUGGCGGCUCCCGGACGCGGGCAGCAAGCUGGGCUGUUGCGGGGCGAGCGGCCGCUGGCGGGACAGACACACACGAAUCACUGUGAACCCCCGGCGGGGUCAAGUGGAACGACAAAAUCGGGGAAACACAGGAACCAGCGGAGGAUGGUCGCUGUGCAAUAGAACGAGAGGAGACACUCAAAACGCCUCAGUGAUCAGGACACGUGUGAAUCGGGGUUUUCAUACUGGGAUAAAAAACAACCCGACUCGUUCUUUUUCGUGGCGCCUCGGACGUGGUGGGCUGCUUCAGGAUGAAGCGGGACGUCUUCCCAGCUACCGGCUGCCGGAAACGCUUUGAACGGAAACCUCGUACCUUUUCUGAGAAGCCAAUGGCCGCAGACGCUGGAUGGACUUGGGGGAGAAUGGAGGGGUGACGUGGUCUGGGUCACAGGUGGCCGUGACGGACAAGGCCUCCCCGUGAAGGGGGGUGUCUUGACCCACGGCCGCGUCCGCCUGCUGCUGAGCAGGGGGAUUCCUGCUACCGGCCCGGGAGGACGGGGGGAGAAAGCGCGACUCUGCUCGGGGUGCGUCGCGGAUGCCAAUCUCAGUGCUCUCCACUUGGUCCUUGUGGGACAGGGGAGAAGGAUAUUGCCGGCCUCACUGACCCACGGACCCCGAACUAGCAGGAUCCGCGAGCCUUUCGGUCUCUCGAAGGAAGAGGCCGUCCGCCAGCACGUUGUGAGAACGCCCCUAAACGGAGAGGGUGAGAAACCUCGGGCCAGAGCGCCCAGGGUCUUGUUCCUCCGCGUGUCCUCCAGCAGGGACGUCGGGGCACUGCUCGGAAGGAUCAGGACGCUAAGAGGACUAAGCAGGAGCUGCAGACAAAACGGAUCAACCGGGAGACACUCGGGUCGGAGAAAAGGGAGCAUGGUCAGCCUGAUGGUGCAUAAAGUGUGCAAGGGACACCUUCAAGUCGAGAGGCCAGGCCACCCUGUGACAGUGGUAGAGACGGGCAGGGAGGGCCUCUUCCGCGAGGGGUGGGUAGCUCAGGAAAGGAUUCUGAGCAGGACGUAUCUACUGCGUUUUCUGAGAGGCACGGAGCAGCUUGGAAAUAAAGGACUCGGACUGUUAAAAAAAAAUAA
Long non-coding RNA from Lynx canadensis (Canada lynx), 1931 nucleotides. RefSeq lists it as uncharacterized. The record is from RefSeq and is a predicted model, not a curated record. Lineage: Eukaryota; Metazoa; Chordata; Mammalia; Carnivora; Felidae. The transcript has 2 exons.